AAACUAUAUGCAAAUACUAAAUGUGUUACUGUUACGGGUAACAUGAGAUGAUUUAUUCAUUUAAUCAGAUUAAUCUGUUAAUUCCAGAAGACUGUAGCUUUGAAUUAUAUCUAUGUUUGCAUUACCAGUAACUGGAAGUCAGCUAAGCAUGUUGCUGGUUCACCUUUAUGGAGAGCUAUUGGAGUGAUUUUAGUAUUUUGCAUAUUGGAUAUAGACUCCUUUAGGAUCUCUAAGGAGACCGCUGUCUUCCAAAUCUUCACACUGUUAGAAACAGGAUACUGAGCUAGCUGGAUCACUAGUCUGAACAGAUGAAAACUGAAGCCUGUAUUUGUUUACUGUGAGUUGUUAUAUGUAAAGACUGAACUGGAAGUCUGCUUAGCACCCCAGGACUGGAAGGAAGUCUAAGUCCGGUGGCUACAGUAAAAAUGCUGUUACAUUCACCCUGAGAAAGAAACACCUACAUGUAAAGAUUUCAGGAAUCCUGUCACCUUCCUUCAAACAUCUAAGCCAUGCUUCAUUAACAUUAGAAAGAAAAGCUUACAUGUCACAAAACCACAUUACCUUGCAUGUAGGAGAGUCAAACAGCUGAGAAGUUUAACACAACCUGCUCAGAAGCAGCUGCUUUUCUCACAGUCUACUGUCUACAGACAGAUACAGCUGUAAGCAAUAAAAUUAAAGUGACUGUCUUGCACUGAGUUUUGCUAUGUACCUCUGUGCUUUUGAACAAGUGUCUUCUUAGCUCCAUAACAGUUCUUCAAAAUAUUAUUUAAUUAGUUUUACUAUUACACCUAAAGGAAGGGAACUCACAACCCUGAGCAGCUGUAGCUCAGUUUAUAAUUGAAAAAACCUACUUCACAGCAGCUGUGAACAUGCAUAGCCUGCUCUUUCCUGUAUUCAUUAUUGAAGCUGAGUUAAAUCCCAGUCUCUGAAAGCAAGGAGGUUAGUGGAAGAGGUAGGUAUGACUUGACAUAUAUAAAACAUUUUCAU
This is a long non-coding RNA of Pezoporus occidentalis (night parrot), 987 nucleotides long. RefSeq lists it as uncharacterized. NCBI's taxonomy places the organism in Eukaryota, Metazoa, Chordata, Aves, Psittaciformes, Psittacidae. The transcript is spliced from 2 exons. The record is from RefSeq and is a predicted model, not a curated record.